AAUGUAACACUCAUUCCCUUAUCUCAGGGAACCGAGGUUACGGUAGUAACCAGAGUGUUAUUUAUUCAUAAUCUGCUAGUACAAUUUUGCACUGUUUUAGACCCAUUUCUUUUAUGCAAACUAGCACAAAUCGCAGGUGUGUGGAUCUUUGCACCCAUGGAUCCUGCUUUUACCUAGGAAUCUUUGAAGGUAAAGGUCAAGUUUACUCUGGUGGACCCACAGCAGGCCAGGGCUCUUGGAUGGAGGGAUAAAUGAAAAUCAGUACAGAUAAAGAAAGCAGAAACAAUGUCACUCUCCCAGCAUAUCGACCCACAGUUCCUCUGGCUAAUGUCCUUGAUUCAACAGAGGUUUGUCUUCAGGUCACCCACCACCAGCAGCAAAGAUAGACUGUGCAGUUCAUGCUGCAGUAUCAUGUCAC
This is a long non-coding RNA of Sinocyclocheilus anshuiensis, 418 nucleotides long. RefSeq lists it as uncharacterized. NCBI's taxonomy places the organism in Eukaryota, Metazoa, Chordata, Actinopteri, Cypriniformes, Cyprinidae. The record is from RefSeq and is a predicted model, not a curated record. The transcript has 3 exons.